RNAcentral lists this unclassified non-coding RNA (154 nucleotides) under uncultured fungus. Its description in RNAcentral is "sequence contains ITS2". Lineage: Eukaryota; Fungi. The record is from RNAcentral.
GUACCUUCAAGCUUUGCUUGGUGUUGGGUGUUUGUCCUUGACCCUCUGGGGUAGGACUCGCCUUAAAGUAAUUGGCAGCCAGUGUUUUGGUUUGAAGCGCAGCACAAGUCGCGAUUCAAGCUUGAAUAAUAGCUUCCAUUAAGUUAUUUAUCAC